UGGGGGCACCCUGAUCAGCCAUCCCGCGUGUGCGAUGAAGGCCUUCGGGUUGUAAAGCACUUUUGGCAGGAAAGAAACGUCGCGGGCUAAUACCCCGUGGAACUGACGGUACCUGCAGAAUAAGCACCGGCUAACUACGUGCCAGCAGCCGCGGUAAUAACGUAGGGUGCAAGCGUUAAUCGGAAUUACUGGGCGUAAAGCGUGCGCAGGCGGUUCGGAAAGAAAGAUGUGAAAUCCCAGAGCUUAACUUUGGAACUGCAUUUUUAACUACCGAGCUAG
Molecule: ribosomal RNA, 279 nt
Filed under: uncultured Achromobacter sp.
Lineage: Bacteria; Pseudomonadati; Pseudomonadota; Betaproteobacteria; Burkholderiales; Alcaligenaceae
Description: partial 16S ribosomal RNA
Rfam family: Bacterial small subunit ribosomal RNA
Source: RNAcentral